Molecule: ribosomal RNA, 468 nt
Filed under: uncultured bacterium
Lineage: Bacteria
Description: partial 16S ribosomal RNA
Rfam family: Bacterial small subunit ribosomal RNA
Source: RNAcentral
GACGAACGCUGGCGGCGUGCUUAACACAUGCAAGUCGAACGGAAAGGCCCUGCUUUUGUGGGGUGCUCGAGUGGCGAACGGGUGAGUAACACGUGAGUAACCUGCCCUUGACUUUGGGAUAACUUCAGGAAACUGGGGCUAAUACCGGAUAGGAGCUCCUGCUGCAUGGUGGGGGUUGGAAAUUUUCGGCGGUUGGGGAUGGACUCGCGGCUUAUCAGCUUGUUGGUGGGGUAGUGGCUUACCAAGGCUUUGACGGGUAGCCGGCCUGAGAGGGUGACCGGCCACAUUGGGACUGAGAUACGGCCCAGACUCCUACGGGAGGCAGCAGUGGGGAAUAUUGCACAAUGGGCGGAAGCCUGAUGCAGCAACGCCGCGUGCGGGAUGACGGCCUUCGGGUUGUAAACCGCUUUCGCCUGUGACGAAGCGGGAGUGACGGUAAUGGGUAAAGAAGCACCGGCUAACUACGUG